AUAAUGAACUUUUUGGCUGUCUCCCGCACCAUGUAUGUGUCACUGCUUCUCGUAGUUCUGUUUGUGAUAUCAACACACAGUUUCACCAGCUCAGAGGAGGCAUGGAAAAUUACAGGCCUACAUAUCUCAUCGAGAGAGAAGAUCCGUCAUGGAUAACAAUCUAGCGUCAGAACUCUUCAAUCGCGGAGACUCGAAUAACGAUGAAUUACUGUCGCCGUCGGAAAUAAAAGACUUCUACGAGACAGUGAUUGGAUUCCCGCCGAAUCUCGCCUUAUUUAUGUCAACAGGUUUCAUGAGGAAUGGAGACAACAAUGGCGACCACCAACUCGACUUCACUGAGACACUGUCUGCCAUUCAGACCAUUGAAGGAAAAUGAUGCGGAUAUUGCCCGGUCGGAUUCAGAGAAAUUUGAAAUCACCCUGUCGCAAUAGAAACUCCCCAAACAUAGUCUCUGGCACCGUGAUAUUAAUUGUGGACGACGAGCUUAGUCUCUGACACCGUGAUAUUAAUUGUGGACGACGAGCUUAGUCUCUGCGGUUUAUAAUGAAAUUGUUACUCAGCAUUGUAUGAGACGGUUAUAUUAUCAUCGUGUGAUUUUGAACCGGAAAGGAUCAUGUGAUUUUCAAAUAUCGUUUUUUUUUUUUUUUAUUUAUUUAACAUUUGAUUUUGAAGGACGUGGAAUAAAGUAAAAGCAUAUAAUUGUUAUAUAUAUAUUGUUUCAAGGUAUUUUAAAAUAAAAUUUAACAGGAACAUAGACGUUCUUGAGUAUUGGUUUCCCAGUGGCCAUUUCGUUUCAUCAGAAAGUUUCAUUUAUGUGUGGAUCUAUGACAAACUUGGCCAUGAUCUCCCGUAAUCACUGAGCACAUCACAUUCUUCUAAAACCAGGGGAUUGACAUCUGUAGAGUGGACUAGUAAUCGGUUGAUCUUAGUACGAUUUUGGAUUAAUGUAAAUUGUACAUAAACUUGUACAAACCUUACAGAACGUCUACUUAUACUUUGUGAAUACAGAAAAGAACUUUA
Long non-coding RNA from Pecten maximus, 1020 nucleotides. RefSeq lists it as uncharacterized. The record is from RefSeq and is a predicted model, not a curated record. The transcript is spliced from 3 exons. NCBI's taxonomy places the organism in Eukaryota, Metazoa, Mollusca, Bivalvia, Pectinida, Pectinidae.